UGAAUACGAGACGCUACGGCGUCGAAGCAGUCUAUGUCAUACUUCCAAGAAAAGCUCGCAAUGUCAUAAACAAAUAAUGCCUGUACCAUAACCUACACAGGUGGGUAGGUAGAGUAUACUAAGGGGCGCGAGAUAACUCUCUCUAAGGAACUCGGCAAAAUGACUCCGUAACUUCGGGAGAAGGAGUGCCUUAUUUAUAAGGUUGCAAUAACAAGAUCCAAGCAACUGUUUAUCAAAAACACAGGCCUCCGCUAAGUCGUAAGACGAUGUAUGGGGGCUGACGCCUGCCCAGUGCCAGAAGGUUAAAGAAGUUGGUUAGCAUUCGCGAAGCUGAUAGCUGAAGCCCUGGUGAACGGCGGUCGUAACUAUAACGGUCCUAAGGUAGCGAAAUUCCUUGUCGGGUAAGUUCCGACCCGCACGAAAGGCGUAAUGAUUUGGAUACUGUCUCGGAGAGGGGCUCGGUGAAAUAGACUUGUCUGUGAAGAUGCGGACUACCUGCACCUGGACAGAAAGACCCUAUGAAGCUUUACUGUAACUUGAAAUUGAAAUUGGACUUUAUUUGCGCAGCAUAGGUGGGAGGCGUUGAGAGUAUUCUUGCGGGAAUAUUGGAGCCAUCAGUGAGAUACCACUCUUGUAAUGUUAGAUUUCUAACUUUGGAUCAUUAUCUGGUCAAAGAACAGUUUCAGGCGGGCAGUUUGACUGGGGCGGUCGCCUCCCAAAUGGUAACGGAGGCGUACAAAGGUUUCCUCUGAACGGGUAGAAAUCGUAUCUAGAGUGUAAAGGCAUAAGGAAGCUUGACUGUGAGACCUACAAGUCGAGCAGGGACGAAAGUCGGUCUUAGUGAUCUGACGGUGCUGAGUGGAAAGGCCGUCACUCAACGGAUAAAAGUUACUCUAGGAUAACAGGCUGAUCUCCCCCAAGAGUUCACAUCGACGGGGAGGUUUGGCACCUCGAUGUCGGCUCAUCGCAUCCUGGGGCGGUAGUACGUCCCAAGGGUUGGGCUGUUCGCCCAUGAAAGCGGUACGCGAGCUGGGUUCAGAACGUCGUGAGACAGUUCGGUACAUAUCCGGUGUAGGCGUUAGAAUAUUGAGAGGAGCCUUCUUUAGUACGAGAGGACCGAGAAGGACAUACCUCUGGUGUACCAGUUAUCGUGCCAACGGUAACCGCUGGGUAGCUAUGUAUGGAGAGGAUAACCGCUGAAAGCAUCUAAGUGGGAAGCCCACCUCAAGAUAAG
RNAcentral lists this ribosomal RNA (1234 nucleotides) under metagenome. Its description in RNAcentral is "bacterial LSU rRNA". It matches the Rfam family "Bacterial large subunit ribosomal RNA", at positions 1564 to 2808 of the family's 2925-position model. The record is from RNAcentral.